RNAcentral lists this long non-coding RNA (353 nucleotides) under Homo sapiens (human). Its description in RNAcentral is "non-protein coding lnc-RIOK2-9:1". Lineage: Eukaryota; Metazoa; Chordata; Mammalia; Primates; Hominidae. The record is from RNAcentral.
GCCCUGAAGAAGCAGCCAUCCUAUAUUGGAGGACAUGAGGGCUUAGAAUUAAGAGAUUAUCAACUGAAUGGUUUAAAUUGGCUUGCUCAUUCUUGGUGCAAGUAAGUAUAUUUUGAAUCAUCUAUUUAAUUUGACAGAGUAAGAAUUUACCAAUACAGGAUUCAGAAAAGAUUUCCAUUUACAUAAAGAAUAAGACUCUUUGGCAGUUUAUAUGCUAGUCUUUGUAUUUCCUAGUUUGUAUAAACAAUACUUACUACAUACUAGGAAGAAAAUCCAGUGGAGUUGGAGUUUAACUUGAUUGUUGCCUUUUUAAAAUAUGUUUUUAUUCAGUUUAAAAAUCAAAAUGCAUAUCU